AAGCGGCAACAGCUCAAAUUUGAAAUCUGGCUCUCGGGCCCGAGUUGUAAUUUGUAGAGGAUGCUUUUGGUGAGGUGCCUUCCGAGUUCCCUGGAACGGGACGCCAUAGAGGGUGAGAGCCCCGUCUGGUUGGACACCGAUCCUCUGUAAAGCUCCUUCGACGAGUCGAGUAGUUUGGGAAUGCUGCUCUAAAUGGGAGGUAUAUGUCUUCUAAAGCUAAAUACCGGCCAGAGACCGAUAGCGCACAAGUAGAGUGAUCGAAAGAUGAAAAGAACUUUGAAAAGAGAGUUAAACAGUACGUGAAAUUGUUGAAAGGGAAGCGCUUGUGACCAGACUUGGGCUUGGUUGAUCAUCCGGGGUUCUCCCCGGUGCACUCUUCCGGCUCAGGCCAGCAUCAGUUCGCCCUGGGGGACAAAGGCUUCGGGAAUGUGGCUCUCUCCGGGGAGUGUUAUAGCCCGUUGCGUAAUACCCUGUGGCGGACUGAGGUUCGCGCAUUCGCAAGGAU
This 505-nucleotide ribosomal RNA is filed under the name Fusarium keratoplasticum. RNAcentral describes it as "partial large subunit ribosomal RNA". It matches the Rfam family "Eukaryotic large subunit ribosomal RNA", at positions 96 to 624 of the family's 3401-position model. Lineage: Eukaryota; Fungi; Ascomycota; Sordariomycetes; Hypocreales; Nectriaceae. The record is from RNAcentral.